This 232-nucleotide ribosomal RNA is filed under the name uncultured bacterium. RNAcentral's name for it is "partial 16S ribosomal RNA". It matches the Rfam family "Bacterial small subunit ribosomal RNA", at positions 99 to 334 of the family's 1533-position model. The record is from RNAcentral.
CGGACGGGUGAGUAAUGUCUGGGAAACUGCCUGAUGGAGGGGGAUAACUACUGGAAACGGUAGCUAAUACCGCAUAACGUCGCAAGACCAAAGAGGGGGACCUUAGGGCCUCUUGCCAUCGGAUGUGCCCAGAUGGGAUUAGUUAGUAGGUGGGGUAACGGCUCACCUAGGCGACGAUCCCUAGCUGGUCUGAGAGGAUGACCAGCCACACUGGAACUGAGACACGGUCCAG